Molecule: ribosomal RNA, 355 nt
Filed under: Metridia pacifica
Lineage: Eukaryota; Metazoa; Arthropoda; Copepoda; Calanoida; Metridinidae
Description: partial 28S ribosomal RNA
Source: RNAcentral
UUGAGAGUUCAAGAGUACGUGAAACCGUCUAGCGGUAAAGAGAGGGGAUCUCGAAGUUCUGAGGGGGACUCAACCUUGGUGGUGCUUGGCCUGGGCGUAUUUGAUCAGCAAUGACUUUGCGUUUAGUCCCGAGUACCUCCCGGACGCACUUUCUCCUCAGUUGACGGCAGGAACUGUUAGGAGCGAACUGAAGGCCCAGGGUGAAGUUGUUGGUUAUGCUGGCAGCCCUUGGUGUCCUAGCUUCGCAUCUGACAGGUAUGUAAGCAAACUCGUAUAGCGAGCAAUUCUCUAUUGCGGUUUGCAUCUCUCUGCCGAGUAGGUCGGUGUCUCCUCUCACCCGUCUUGAAACACGGAC